RNAcentral lists this ribosomal RNA (482 nucleotides) under uncultured bacterium. Its description in RNAcentral is "partial 16S ribosomal RNA". It matches the Rfam family "Bacterial small subunit ribosomal RNA", at positions 28 to 507 of the family's 1533-position model. The record is from RNAcentral.
GUUGAACGCUGGCGGCGUGCUUUACACAUGCAAGUCGAACGGUAACAGGCCGCAAGGUGCUGACGAGUGGCGGACGGGUGAGUAAUGCAUCGGAACGUGCCCAGUCGUGGGGGAUAACUACUCGACAGAGUAGCUAAUACCGCAUACGAUCUAUGGAUGAAAGCGGGGGACCGUAAGGCCUCGCGCGAUUGGAGCGGCCGAUGUCAGAUUAGGUAGUUGGUGGGGUAAAGGCUCACCAAGCCAACGAUCUGUAGCUGGUCUGAGAGGACGACCAGCCACACUGGGACUGAGACACGGCCCAGACGCCUACGGGAGGCAGCAGUGGGGAAUUUUGGACAAUGGGCGCAAGCCUGAUCCAGCAAUGCCGCGUGCAGGAAGAAGGCCUUCGGGUUGUAAACUGCUUUUGUACGGAACGAAACGGCUCUGGUUAAUACCCGGGGCUAAUGACGGUACCGUAAGAAGAAGCACCGGCUAACUACGUG